UACGGGGGGGGCAAGCGUUGUUCGGAAUUACUGGGCGUAAAGGGCGCGUAGGCGGCCUUGCAAGUGGCGGGUGAAAUCCCUCGGCUUAACCGAGGAACUGCCUGCCAGACUGCAAGGCUCGAGACCGGGAGAGGUGAGUGGAAUUCCCAGUGUAGCGGUGAAAUGCGUAGAUAUUGGGAGGAACACCAGUGGCGAAGGCGGCUCACUGGACCGGAACUGACGCUGAGGCGCGAAAGCGUGGGGAGCAAACAGG
Molecule: ribosomal RNA, 253 nt
Filed under: uncultured bacterium
Lineage: Bacteria
Description: partial 16S ribosomal RNA
Rfam family: Bacterial small subunit ribosomal RNA
Source: RNAcentral